UGCGUAGGCGGAUAUUCAAGUCGGGUGUGAAAGCCCCGGGCUCAACCUGGGAACUGCAUUCGAUACUGGGUAUCUAGAGUAUGGUAGAGGGAAGUGGAAUUUCCGGUGUAGCGGUGAAAUGCGUAGAUAUCGGAAAGAACACCAAUGGCGAAGGCAGCUUCCUGGACCAAUACUGACGCUGAGGCACGAAAGCGUGGGGAGCAAACA
Molecule: ribosomal RNA, 207 nt
Filed under: uncultured bacterium
Lineage: Bacteria
Description: partial 16S ribosomal RNA
Rfam family: Bacterial small subunit ribosomal RNA
Source: RNAcentral